Molecule: ribosomal RNA, 405 nt
Filed under: uncultured bacterium
Lineage: Bacteria
Description: partial 16S ribosomal RNA
Rfam family: Bacterial small subunit ribosomal RNA
Source: RNAcentral
AUUGAACGCUGGCGGCAGGCCUAACACAUGCAAGUCGAACGAGUGGCGGACGGGUGAGUAAUGUCUGGGAAACUGCCCGAUGGAGGGGGAUAACUACUGGAAACGGUAGCUAAUACCGCAUACCAUCGGAUGUGCCCAGAUGGGAUUAGCUUGUAGGUGAGGUAACGGCUCACCUAGGCGACGAUCCCUAGCUGGUCUGAGAGGAUGACCAGCAGAAGGGGAACUGGGAACCGUGCAAGACUCCGCGGGGAGGAAGCAGGGGGGAGGAGUGAACAAUGGGCGCAGGCCUAAGGUAGCCAUGCGGGGUGUAUGAAGAGGGCGUGCGGUUUGUAAAGUACUUUCAGAGGGGAGGCGUUACACGCAGAAGAAGCACCGGCUAACUCCGUGCCAGCAGCCGCGUAAUAC